GAUCAUGGCUCAGGAUGAACGCUGGCGGCGUGCUUAACACAUGCAAGUCGAACGGAGUUUUUAAACGGAAGUUUUCGGAUGGAAGUUUAGAAACUUAGUGGCGGACGGGUGAGUAACGCGUGGGUAACCUGCCUCAUACAGGGGGAUAACAGUUAGAAAUGACUGCUAACACCGCAUAAUAUAGCGAAACCGCAUGAUUUUUGCUAUCAAAUAUUUAUAGGUAUGAGAUGGGCCCGCGUCUGAUUAGCUAGUUGGUGGGGUAAAAGCCUACCAAGGCGACGAUCAGUAGCCGGCUUGAGAGAGUGACCGGCCACAUUGGGACUGAGACACGGCCCAAACUCCUACGGGAGGCAGCAGUGGGGAAUAUUGGACAAUGGGGGAAACCCUGAUCCAGCGAACCGCCGCGUGAGUGAAGAAGUAUUUCGGUAUGUAAAGCUCUAUCAGCAGGGAAGAUAAUGACAGUACCUGACUAAGAAGCCCCGGCUAACUACGUGCCAGCAGCCGC
RNAcentral lists this ribosomal RNA (505 nucleotides) under uncultured bacterium. Its description in RNAcentral is "bacterial SSU rRNA". It matches the Rfam family "Bacterial small subunit ribosomal RNA", at positions 15 to 518 of the family's 1533-position model. The record is from RNAcentral.